AUUGAACGCUGGCGGCAGGCCUAACACAUGCAAGUCGAGCGGAUGAAGGGAGCUUGCUCCUGGAUUCAGCGGCGGACGGGUGAGUAAUGCCUAGGAAUCUGCCUGGUAGUGGGGGAUAACGUCCGGAAACGGGCGCUAAUACCGCAUACGUCCUGAGGGAGAAAGUGGGGGAUCUUCGGACCUCACGCUAUCAGAUGAGCCUAGGUCGGAUUAGCUAGUUGGCGGGGUAAAGGCCUACCAAGGCGACGAUCCGUAACUGGUCUGAGAGGAUGAUCAGUCACACUGGAACUGAGACACGGUCCAGACUCCUACGGGAGGCAGCAGUGGGGAAUAUUGGACAAUGGGCGAAAGCCUGAUCCAGCCAUGCCGCGUGUGUGAAGAAGGUCUUCGGAUUGUAAAGCACUUUAAGUUGGGAGGAAGGGCAGUAAGUUAAUACCUUGCUGUUUUGACGUUACCAGCAGAAUAAGCACCGGCUAACUUCGUG
RNAcentral lists this ribosomal RNA (484 nucleotides) under uncultured bacterium. RNAcentral's name for it is "partial 16S ribosomal RNA". It matches the Rfam family "Bacterial small subunit ribosomal RNA", at positions 30 to 507 of the family's 1533-position model. The record is from RNAcentral.